RNAcentral lists this ribosomal RNA (445 nucleotides) under uncultured bacterium. RNAcentral describes it as "partial 16S ribosomal RNA". It matches the Rfam family "Bacterial small subunit ribosomal RNA", at positions 354 to 796 of the family's 1533-position model. The record is from RNAcentral.
GUGAGGAAUAUUGGACAAUGGGCGCAAGCCUGAUCCAGCCAUGCCGCGUGCAGGAAGACGCAUCUAUGGUGUGUAAACUGCUUUUGUACGGGAAGAAACACUCCCUCGUGAGGGAGCUUGACGGUACCGUAAGAAUAAGGAUCGGCUAACUCCGUGCCAGCAGCCGCGGUAAUACGGAGGAUCCAAGCGUUAUCCGGAAUCAUUGGGUUUAAAGGGUCCGUAGGCGGUUUAAUAAGUCAGUGGGGAAAGCCCAUCGCUCAACGAUGGAACGGCCAUUGAUACUGUUAGGCUUGAAUUACAAGGAAGUAACUAGAAUAUGUAGUGUAGCGGUGAAAUGCUUAGAUAUUACAUGGAAUACCAAUUGCGAAGGCAGGUUACUACUUGUGGAUUGACGCUGAUGGACGAAAGCGUGGGGAGCGAACAGGAUUAGAAACCCGAGUAGUCC